GAGUGUUUGCGUACCGAUGUGUUUUUUCGAUUUCCGUUUUUUUUUCUCCUUUAUUUUCCCCCAAACCAACGCCAUCCCCUUUUCUCCCCUCUCGACCCCUCGUCGUCGCCUCUCCGAUUUGCCGACUCGACUCAUGAACUGAUCUCUCCAAAAAACCUAAAAAUUUGCUCCGAUUUCUUUAGAUUUUGUUAGUUUCUGUCUCUAUUGUUUGGGAUUUGAUCGGAGAUGGCGGAUGUCGACACUUGACUCUGAAUCGGGGCUGUUUCUUGUUGAUUCUACAGAGCAAAAGAAACAGCCUGAGGUUAUGAUUGUGAGAUUUUGUGAUAUUGGGAGAUCUCUAGGGUUUGGUCUCGAUUGCUUGGUUGCCGCUGUUGGUGAUCGUUUGGGAUGAGGAAUGAGGGGCAGAGGCCUCAAGGAUCCGGACGGAACAAUGGAUUCAUGAGGAGUUUCUCGAGCUACUUGAGGAUUGUAUCUAAUUAUGCUUCGAAUGUGGCGUCGACUGUGAAAUCUGCGGGGGUUUCGGUCGCUUCGUCCUUAGCUGAUCGCGAUGAGGAUGCUGCUCGUGAUCAGGUACGAGUUUACUGUUUUUAAUGAGUUAGUUGCUGGAGGAACAGUCUGGACAGAUUCUCAGUGUUCUUAAAAGAAUAAUCAAUGAAGAUUCCCUACUACUAGGUUUCAUACCGAAAGAUGAUCGUCCGGAUUGGAUGAUAUUACGACUUCUUCCUAUUCAACCACCUACUGUAAUACCAUCUGUUAUGAUGGACACCUCUGCUAGAAGUGAGAUUGUGUUUCAAAACACUGAAAACACAAUGCAAUCUUGGCAUCUUGAUGGAUAUAGUUUCUAGGUUGUUGGCUAGGAAGGAGGUCAAUGGUUCAAGAAAAUGAGGUGUGCCAUGGGAAAUUGCUAUAGUUUGUUGAAAGAUCAUGAAACUACAAUGAAAAAUUUUCUGCGUGCAGUGCAACUAGACUCGAGAUUUGCUUAUGCUCAUACACUAUGCGGCCAUGAAUGACAUGCAACCAAAAUUAGAUGAGCUUUCCGAGGAUAUCAUGCAAUUAGAUAUUGGAGAAUGUAUGCCAACACAAGUAUGAAUCUCUCAUACUGUGAUGCGGUAGCUGAAGGUCCUCGCUAUUUCAUUGAGGUAUUAUUCUGGUCAUUCAUCUCUAAUUUGAGGUUCAGGUCAUGUGUGCAGUACCUAUUUUGGAACAAAGCCACCCUCCCUUGAUAUAGUGAGGAUAUUCAAUUUCAGUAAUGAAGUAUGCCACAGGUACAGUCCAACAUCCCUUUUACAUGCUCUAACCGCAUAACAAUCGAAGAGGAAAAUUAUACAGAAACGAGGAUAUGUAUUUUCCGCAGUCUACUUAUUGAAGUACUGAUGCUUAUUGAUGCAGGAUUCUUCAAGCACCAUUUUCCGUAUUAUCUCUUAUCUCAAAACAAUGUCGCUGUUUCCUUUGAAAAGGACCCGAAUGUCCAGUCUUUAGAACUGCAUUAUAAUGCCUGUAAUGCGUCCUUAUUGCCAUGUUCUUCUGAUGGAGUUGAUGACACACAUCAGAGCACUUCUUCUUUAGUGCAAAAAACAAUACCUGCAGGAAGGCAGGCAUCAUCAGAAGAUAUAUAAUCAUGGAAAGAGAAAGGCUUUACUAGGUAGAAAAUUGAGAUAAAAUAUCUUUAAACAAGAUUUUAUUGACUGAUUGUUACAAUGCUGCAUUGCUAAAAAUGAAAACUUUACCACGUGCAUUGCACGUGCAAUCCAACUAGUAUAUAACAUAUAUGGAAGAUAAAAUUGAUCUAGGAGUCUUAGGAAUUGAUUGACACAAAGAGCUAAUAUCUUUUUUUUUUUUGAGAAUUUUAAAUAAAUUUCUAAGUUAAACUUAGUUUUGUACAACUACAUUAAAAAGAUUUUCUAAGAAAUUUACUUUAGAGUUAUUCAUAAAAUAUUUUUUAGUAAAAUUAGCUUUAAUUAGAUUGUUUAAAUUGUUUAAAGAUAUCAGAUGAAUUAUUUCUAUAUUAAUUUUUAUAAUUGAUAAGUUGAUCGAAUUUUAUGAGUAUAUUCACUAUAAACUCUCACGAGACUACAACUCUUCCUUUAGGGUAAUCUAAGGUUUUAAAGUCUUGUUGUAUAUACAAAAUACAACUGCUAUUCCUGCAAAAGUAAGUUAAGAUUUUUCUUUUUUUAUUUUCUUUCUUUGCUAGAGGUCUAGCAAAAGUGUAGGUGCGGGAGUAUUUGAUCGCUAUAUUUUAUUACACUUUUGUACCCUUAUUAUAUAUUUCAUUGAAUAAAUUUACUUACUAAAUUCGUGUGUUUUAUGAGUUUGAAGUAAAUAAAGAAAUAUCAAAUAAAAGAUCAAAGAAACCUAGAAGACCUCUACUUGAAGCCAAGCCUAAAUGAAGCUCAGAAAGGUCAAAAGCUCAAGAAGUAAAUAAGUCAAUCAAAGAAGAAAAUUUUGUUACAGACUAAUUGAUUAACUAAUCAAUGAACCAAUUGAUUAGCUAAUUGAUAAGCAAAUUGAUUAGCUAAUUGAUAAGCUAAUUGAUUAGCUAAUUGAUAAGCUAAUCGAUUAGUUUCCAACAAAACAUAAUAAAUGGCUGGUUUUGAUUUCUUGGAGCCUAAGUUUGAUCCAGUAGCUGAUAUUAUUUCUUGUCAGCUAUAAAAUGUAAAAUUUUGUGAACUCCAUUUUAGAGAGGAAGGUCUUUAAUUAGGCAUUCCACCAUUGUAAAACUUUAAUUUUGCAAUUAAAUAGAAGUUUUCUUUCUUCUUUUAAUUUUCUUCUUCAUCUCUUAUGUUGAUGAAGAUUUGUUUCAAGAGGGGCCAACCUAUUACAAUGCAAGUUUUUAUUUUUCCUUUUUAUUUCUAUUUAAAAUUGCAUGUUGAUGAUUUAAUUCAUGCUUUGUUUUAUGCUUUGUAAUUUAGAAGUUUCUUACUUCUUAUUCUUGCUUUCUAGAAGUAAUAUGAGUAGCUAAUUUUCUUAGGAUAUCUAGGAUUAGAUGAAGAUAAUUAAAUUUCUACUUAAAACUUUGAAUUGCUCUAUUUUUAUGCUUAAUUGAUCAUGCUUAUGGUAAUCAGUUAGAAUAUAUUUGGUAGAAAAAUUAAAUAAGCUAUACUUAUUUUACAUGGUUUGAUAGUUUACACUUUUUUAAUUCUAGAAUUACUAUUUAGUUAUUCCUUUCUAUUCAUGAAUGAUGAUAUUUCCUGGAUAAUUGUACUUGUUUUAAAUAACUUGAUAAUCUAUACUUAAGAAGUCUAGUGAUAUUAAAAUUAAAAGAAAGUAGUUCUAAAAUCUAAAUAGGAAUUAGCUAGUGGAUUCAAUCCUAGAUUUCUAGUUUCAUAAUUAGAUUUUCUUCACUCUUUUGUUUGCUUCCUCUCUUGUUUUUAUUCACCUUCUUGUUUUAGCCCUUUUAUUUGCAUUCAAUCAACACCAAAAACAACUCUAUUCUCUCUUUAUUACCAUAAUUCAAGAACCACUCUAGGAUCUUUCUUAGAUCACAUCUUUCUCAUGGGAUCGAUACUUAUAUGUCACGCACACAAGUUGUGCACUUGCAAUGUUUAUAAUUAGAACACACCAAUAAGUCCUUCUAUUAGGCUUAUUGUUCAAACCCCGAAUUAUAGUUGUGUUAGCACUAAUAAUGGGUGGGGAAUUAUAUUAUCACCACCUCUCCCUCUCACCUCCUCCUCUAUCACCUACAUCUCCUUUACCACUCUCUCCUCCUCCGUUGGUUUUCCCACCUCCUCCUCAAUCACUACGACCAUCAUCUUUGCUAUGGCUAUCUCCACCUCCGCAUGUAUUCUUAUUCCCUCCUCUAUCUCCGUCAUCACUAUCUCCACACCUCUGUCAUUUUUACUAUUGCUGAUAUUCUCGCCUCCACCACCAUCUUCACGACCAUUAUCUCCUUCACACUCGUCACCUCCUCUGGCGGUAUUCUCACCUACUCUAAUGUCACCACCACCACCAUCACCACCUCCACGGAUAAUUUAACCACCUCCACCUUCUUCAUCACCGUUCUCUCCUAUAUUUAUUUCCAAACUUUGUAGACAUUGAAGCAAAAAAUAAUGGGAGGGGCCCGCAGUGGUGGUUGAGGAAAGAGAGGAAGGAGAAGAGGUUUUUUUGGGGGUGGUCUAGGGGAGAGAGGAGGGCAAGGAGGUAAGAGGAGAGGUAACUGUUCAUUCAAGAAAAUGUCGAAGAAAACAUAUUAUUUCGACUCAUUUUAACACCAACCAACUAGAGGAACUAAUAUCAACAUACUAAGAUGAUUUCUGGGAUUAAUAACAAAAUAUGAAGAUUUGAGGGACAAAUAUCAAAAAACCUAUGACCCAAGUGACUAUGUCUGAAAACCUUAUAAUUUUAUAUUCUAACAUGGCCUGGAGUUAGAUAGUAUUAUCAAUUUUCUAUAAAAUAAACAUUUAUUUAUCUUGAGAACAACUUACACGAUUGAGUCCGUAAGAGUGGACUUGAUGACGAAGGCCUAGUGGUCUCCUUUGAUGUUUGACUAACUCUUGUUGACAACGGCCUGAGAUAUAUAGAAAAAACAUCAGAUUGACGAUGGUGGGCUACCCACUGAUGCCUCUCUGAUGCCUAAGUUAGAUUCUUGAUGAUGAAGUCAAAGCUAUAGGUAAUUAACGUUAGGCCUUUAAAAGAGAGAGACCAUAUUCCAAAUGUUGGUGGUGCUAAAUCUUAUAAUCAUAUGAGGUCUUGUCCUUAUACCUUAGAUCGGAGAGGUAUUUAUACUAAUUUUCUAGGGCAAAUCAGCCUCUACAUGUGUCACUAUCUUGACAGCCAAGGUUGUUAUGGUAGUUGGCCUGCAAGUAAGUCGACUAGCAAUAUCUCGGUGUAGGAUUGUACAAUUGAUGUAUGUGUAUAGCGGGUAAGUUAUGGAAGUUGAUAGUUGUAGAGAUUGAUUCUUUGAUCGAUAUCUCCUCAUAUGAUAUGUUUAGGAUAUUAUAUAACCUGAAUCAAUCAUCUCUAAUUAGGCACACCACCUUAAAACCAGACCGAGUAGGGGUCUAGGCAUAGUAAUCGAACUGAGAUUAGUUCAAUUGUUAUGGACAUUUAUCGCUCUAUCCCAGCUUUUAGGUCAAACCCAUAGGCUGUGGUCAAGGGUGCAUGUUGAGUACAAAUGUGUCACACCUUUGUGAGUUAAAGUACAUGACUGGUUGAUUGACCCUCUGGUUAGCACAACUACAAAUUUUGGGUUAUAUGCAUAAUAACAUUAAAUGCAUGGCACAUGGGAUUUACACCUGGUUUAUCCUGAUAAUAUUUUAAAAUCUUUGCCACUGUGAUUGGUUAAGAAUUAUAAUUUUACGUACUAAUAGUUUAAAAUUGUUUUUUCACCCAUAAAUCAUUAUAUUGUACCCUCACAAUUUUAAAAAGAGGGUUGGGGUUUGAUGAGCUUCUCUCAGUUGUCGACCAUGGUGAGUAUCUCAAUCCCCCCGAAUUCUAUCAACCUCCCAUUCCUCCGCCGUCCCCCUCACUGUGUUUUGCAGGCCGACGUGGACGCCUACGUGGCGUCGAUCUGGAGCUCGCAAAGCUCUUGCACGCACGCCUCCGCUCGCAAGAGGCAAAGGUUUAAGCAGCGUUUGAGUUAGAAGCUGAUGGCUCUCAUCAACAAACUUCAUGAGGCCCCCACUACUUGAUCAUAGAGAACUACUCCCCUCUUCUAGACCUCAGGGCCGUUGAGAGGUUUUGCCGCAAAUACCACCUCUGUGCUUCCCCUCGGUGGCCUAAAAGUGUGCAUCAUUGUUACUGUGCGUGAAUAACAACUGAUAUUAAUGUUCAUCAUGAACAAUAGCUGAAGAAAGGUGCCUUGCUUGUCAAAUAAUGCCGAAAUCAAGAUCAAGAAAAUGAAGGAUUGAUCGAUCAAGGGUUUUCUUCUUUUCCUACUGAAACCCACCUAGCAUUUCUUUUGGCUUCAUUUACUGAUCAUGUAAGUGAGGACUUGGCGAGGAUUUCUUUCAGAUCUUAUUUUGGCUAUUGUCUUGCUAUCGAGUAAUCUCUGGCUGUGAGUGCACUUUCUAGUUAUUUCAGUACUUUGUGAGAACUAUGUCUGACUCUGUGGCUAAUUUAUGAAGCGAAUAAAGAAAUGAGCUCUUCAACAAGCUCGCAACAAAGAUAACUUUGUUAAAGCUCUUUCAGCUAGUUGUUUAGUUCCUAUUUGUAACAAGCUGGGCAAUGGGCAUGUUUGAUAUAUAUGCUCCAACUCGAGGGGGAGUGUUAGAUGUUAUUAGGUAGUUAGCUAUUUUGAUAUUUAGUAUUCGUACCCGCUUAUGUCACCCUCCUAUUCUCUAUUUAAGAGAAAUUAGGGUUUGUAGGAAAAAAAUGAUCUUAUCUUCUCCCUUUCUCAACAAUAGAUGGGGGGUGCAUUUGGUAAAGUUGAAAGUUUGGGGUUAUGUGAGACUUACAAAACUUCAGAGGCUUUAGUGUGUUAGAUAAUGUGAUUUAUUUAACAAUCCAGUAACAGAUAUGAUCUUCGUAAUUGUAAUUUGUUAUGUUAUAACUACUCAUCUAACCCCUUAAUUCUGUAUCUCAACCUCUUGAUUGUACUCAUCUCUAUAUAAGUGAGUGAAGUAAUGAAUAAAAUUAAUCUACUCCAUUAUUCUACUUCAAUUUAUUUUACAUGGUAUCAGAGCCAUCUGACUUAGCCAAGAGAAUUCUCUCUUUCAUAGUCUCGGGGCCGCUGAGGGGUUUUUGCAGCAAAAAUCAUCUUCACAUUUCCCCUCGGUAGCUUUGAAAUCUUCGUGCUUCUGUUUAUGUCUAUGUUUGUCUCAAAUCUAGUUCAAUCUUAGUUUGUUGCAUUAUCUGAUCUGAUCCGAUUUUCCAUUCUGACAAAGAUCCAUUCUGGUAAUUGUUUUGAUCAUCUGUAAUUGCUGAUCGUUGUUAUCCAACUCCUCUGAUUCCGGGUCAGCAUCUUCACAACAUUAACAUUACUGAAUUCCAGUCGCUCGCCACUUGUUGUCUUCAUUCUCUGGAUCCGGCCACUGUCGCUCAUCAAAAAUCAGUUGUAGUUUCUUCAUGCAGACAGCUCCAAGAAUGUGUCUACGUGGCUGUUCGAAUUGAAAAUCUGAUAUCUAAUUCGAUCCAACCCACAAGAAAUCAGAUCUGAACAAAAUCAGCUUGGGUCGAUGUUUUGCACAAACCUACAUGGAGACCAAGCGACUCCUCUUCAACCUACUUGUGUCUCACAACUCGAGGCUCAUUCCGAUGUUUAAUGUUGCCUACUUUCUUCUGUUUGAACACUAUCGUUCUUUCCUCAUCAACUCACAUGUCGAGUUUCUCCCAGCUUUCCCAUCGGUCUCUUCUUCUUGCAUGCAGUCUUGCAGACUUUCUCUUCUCACACACAGCUUUGUCAAUAUUCUUGCACAUGUCUUGUUGACCUCAUUUUCUCACACACUCACGCCGAUCUUUUAUUCAUGGGCGUAGUCAUAUUGACGUCUUCUCCCGUUCAACCUCAUCGACCUUUUUUUCCUGUUCAGUAUCCUCGGCCUUCUUUUCUCUCAUGCAGUCUUAUUGGGCUCUACCUGCGUGUCUCAUGUUCAAUCUUUUGGCAAGACAUUAUCUAUGGUGCUCAUCCAUACAUUCAUCGGCGAGCUUGGCUUCAACAAAUCCACACUGCAGCUUGAGGGGGAGUGUUAGAGAAUCUGAUUAAUUCAACAAUCCAGUAAUAUAUAUGAUCUUUAUGAUCAUAAUUUGUUAUGUUAUAAUUACUCUAUCUAUCCUCUUUCUUCUGUAUCUCAACCUCUUGAUUGUACUCAUCUCUAUGUAAGAGUGUGACGAAAUGAAUAAAAUUAAUCUGCUCCAUUUUUGCACUUUGAUUUAUUAUACAAAGUGGAAUAAAUAAAGUUCAGCUGGUAUUGUG
RNA transcript from Asparagus officinalis (garden asparagus), 7846 nucleotides. It is a transcript of the gene named DNA-directed RNA polymerase II subunit 1-like, with no coding region annotated. The transcript has 13 exons. The record is from RefSeq and is a predicted model, not a curated record. Lineage: Eukaryota; Viridiplantae; Streptophyta; Magnoliopsida; Asparagales; Asparagaceae.